CAGUCGCCGCGGUAAUACGUAGGUGGCAAGCGUUGUUCGGAAUUAUUGGGCGUAAAGGGCUCGCAGGCGGUUUCUUAAGUCUGAUGUGAAAGCCCCCGGCUCAACCGGGGAGGGUCAUUGGAAACUGGGAAACUUGAGUGCAGAAGAGGAAAGUGGAAUUCCACGUGUAGCGGUGAAAUGCGUAGAGAUGUGGAGGAACACCAGUGGCGAAGGCGACUCUCUGGUCUGUAACUGACGCUGAGGAGCGAAAGCGUGGGGAGCGAACAGGAUUAGAUACCCCUGUAGUCCCUGUCUCUUAUAC
Molecule: ribosomal RNA, 301 nt
Filed under: uncultured bacterium
Lineage: Bacteria
Description: partial 16S ribosomal RNA
Rfam family: Bacterial small subunit ribosomal RNA
Source: RNAcentral